AGGCAUCUAGUUUAAAUAAAACCCUUGAUUUCGGCUCAAAUAUUUGUGGUUAAAAUCCGCAGCUGCCUA
RNAcentral lists this transfer RNA (69 nucleotides) under Bothus myriaster (Indo-Pacific oval flounder). RNAcentral describes it as "tRNA-Arg". It matches the Rfam family "tRNA". From Rfam's summary of the family: Transfer RNA (tRNA) molecules are approximately 80 nucleotides in length. Their secondary structure includes four short double-helical elements and three loops (D, anti-codon, and T loops). Lineage: Eukaryota; Metazoa; Chordata; Actinopteri; Pleuronectiformes; Bothidae. The record is from RNAcentral.